GGGGCUAUAGCUCAGCUGGGAGAGCGCCUGCCUUGCACGCAGGAGGUCAGCGGUUCAAUCCCGCUUAGCUCCA
This is a non-coding RNA of Triticum urartu, 73 nucleotides long. The record is from Rfam. Lineage: Eukaryota; Viridiplantae; Streptophyta; Magnoliopsida; Poales; Poaceae.